UGUGCCUUCAGCAGCUCUCCGAGGCCCAUUGGUGUGCCGGGAGCUGGCAGUGGUGCCCACGGAGGCCUGUGCACAGGUAGACCGAGCUGAGGUUCACAGGACUUUGCACCUGCCCGGGUGGACCUCUCUCUGCUCUCACCUGCCUAUCGGCCCACCUGUUGACACCUACUCGGGCAGAAAGCUACAAAUCCACAGAGCACCUCAAGGGAAUAACGACCUCCAGGUGGAGAGUUCGGAUGCGGUCUGCUCCUGAGGCUGUCACGGCUUUUGUUUCAGAAACUACAGAUAAGGUCCACCCAUCCUGGCUCCUGGGAAAACAGCAGGCCUCCUGGGGCACUGACUGGAGAUCUCUGCCUGGGGACAACUGGAGGCACCCGGGCCUUUGUGUUCCAGGGAGAGACAGAUGACCAUCGCCCCUGGGAACAGCUCACUGCCCAGGGCAGGAGCGUUGCAGCUUCUGAAUCUCAAAGCCCUCACCACACCUUGUUUGUCCUCCACCACCCCCUUAUAAAAGGUCUGGCCAGGAAAGAGAAGAGUGGAUGGUCUAUUAGGGUUACAGAAGGACCCUUGUUCACAGCAUUGACCAUCACCCUGGACUGUUCCAAGGGACCAAAGUGCUGGAUGUCACAGUUUGCUCUCCUGCCUGCCAAGGCCUUGGGGUGUGAGUCUGACCAGGAAUUGUCUGGAAGGGCUCAGAGGAAGGAGGUGCUUUGGCCAAAGGGGGUGGGGAGCAGGGUCAAUAACAAUAGGGACUCUCCCCAAGGGUCAGUCCCCAGUCAGGGCACAUGCUUGGGUUGUGGGCCAGGUCCCCAGUGAGGGGCGCUCAAGAGGCAACCACACAUUGAUGUUUCUCUCCCUC
This is a long non-coding RNA of Artibeus jamaicensis (Jamaican fruit-eating bat), 859 nucleotides long. RefSeq lists it as uncharacterized. The record is from RefSeq and is a predicted model, not a curated record. The transcript is spliced from 4 exons. Lineage: Eukaryota; Metazoa; Chordata; Mammalia; Chiroptera; Phyllostomidae.